This 253-nucleotide ribosomal RNA is filed under the name uncultured bacterium. RNAcentral's name for it is "partial 16S ribosomal RNA". It matches the Rfam family "Bacterial small subunit ribosomal RNA", at positions 524 to 776 of the family's 1533-position model. The record is from RNAcentral.
UACGUAGGGGGCAAGCGUUAUCCGGAUUUACUGGGUGUAAAGGGAGCGUAGACGGCGAUGCAAGCCAGAUGUGAAAGCCCGGGGCUCAACCCCGGGACUGCAUUUGGAACUGUGUGGCUGGAGUGUCGGAGAGGCAAGUGGAAUUCCUAGUGUAGCGGUGAAAUGCGUAGAUAUUAGGAGGAACACCAGUGGCGAAGGCGGCUUUCUGGACUGAAACUGACGCUGAGGCACGAAAGCGUGGGGAGCGAACAGG